This 62-nucleotide microRNA precursor is filed under the name Curtobacterium sp. ER1/6. RNAcentral's name for it is "microRNA mir-770". The record is from RNAcentral. Lineage: Bacteria; Bacillati; Actinomycetota; Actinomycetes; Micrococcales; Microbacteriaceae.
GUGCACAACGGGGAGCACGUCGCGCCACGUGAUCGCGUGGCGCGAGGUGCUCCCCGUUGUGC